Pipra filicauda (Wire-tailed manakin) is the source of this 757-nucleotide long non-coding RNA. RefSeq lists it as uncharacterized. The record is from RefSeq and is a predicted model, not a curated record. The transcript has 3 exons. NCBI's taxonomy places the organism in Eukaryota, Metazoa, Chordata, Aves, Passeriformes, Pipridae.
GAGCAAAAGACCCUGUCUCACUGUCAUGCUUGUUUUCCUGUAGUCCCGCAGGUUGCUGCAGCGCUGCCAGAUCUGCCGGGGAUUUGGCUGCUGAAUGAGAGACUGAGGCUUAGGGAAGGGCUGACAAUGGGUUCCAAACCUACACAGCAUUCUAGCAGGGCCUUCAGAAAGCACUAGUGACUUGCAGGGGACGAAAAACUAGAAACUACAGAUGAAAAAGCGCAGCAAAUGCUUUGGGGAGCAGAGAGAAAAGGAACCCGCAUUCUGCCCAGCACAGAUCUUUUGGACACGAAUUUUGUGUCACGCGCGGCUGCAGGUCAGGCUGGCGAGCACAAGCAGCACUGUGACAUAUGGCAAGGAACAGUUUAAAGCCGUGGCUGCUCCCACCCUGCUCAGACCCAGUUUGCAGGCGGGAGGUGCGGAGGCUGCUCCUGCAUGGGCUGAGUGAGCUGUUGGCAGGGUUCGAUCAGUCUGCCUCGCUGCAGGAUUUUCUGCUUUGCUGUGGAAAUGUACCAGGACACAUUCAAGUUCAGUCUGGCUCCAAAAGGACGUUCUUCAAAACUGGAUUGAUGGGCUCCUCUUUCCUGACCAUCACAGGAAUUCACUACAAAUAUUUACCAUCUGCAUCUCUGCUCCCCCUAUUGAAUAUACUUUGGUUCCUUAAACCGAUUAUGUAGAUAUUUCACAGUGUCAUAAAAAGCAGAAAGAGCACAGAAUAUUGCACAAGUGAUUCAUUCUGAUAAGCAUGCAAAGAACU